This is a small nucleolar RNA of 90 nucleotides. It matches the Rfam family "Small nucleolar RNA snR57". From Rfam's summary of the family: snR57 is a member of the C/D class of snoRNA which contain the C (UGAUGA) and D (CUGA) box motifs.
CUUUACAUGAUUAUGAAAACAAUAUUUUAAAGUCUGAGGAUGUAUAUGCAGGACUAAAUUGUUAAGGAAUUCUUCGUUUAUGAUCAGGAA